This 85-nucleotide transfer RNA is filed under the name Felis catus (domestic cat). It matches the Rfam family "tRNA". From Rfam's summary of the family: Transfer RNA (tRNA) molecules are approximately 80 nucleotides in length. Their secondary structure includes four short double-helical elements and three loops (D, anti-codon, and T loops). RNAcentral also lists the same sequence under 2 other names. Lineage: Eukaryota; Metazoa; Chordata; Mammalia; Carnivora; Felidae. The record is from Rfam by way of RNAcentral.
GCCUGGGUGGCUUAGUCGGUUAAGCGUCCGACUUUGGCUCAGGUCAUGAUCUCACAAUCCGUGAGUUCGAGCCUCAUGUCGGGCU